This 750-nucleotide ribosomal RNA is filed under the name Microbacterium aurantiacum. RNAcentral's name for it is "partial 16S ribosomal RNA". It matches the Rfam family "Bacterial small subunit ribosomal RNA", at positions 74 to 845 of the family's 1533-position model. Lineage: Bacteria; Bacillati; Actinomycetota; Actinomycetes; Micrococcales; Microbacteriaceae. The record is from RNAcentral.
GCCAGCUUGCUGGGUGGAUCAGUGGCGAACGGGUGAGUAACACGUGAGCAACCUGCCCUGGACUCUGGGAUAAGCGCUGGAAACGGCGUCUAAUACUGGAUAUGAGCCUUCACCGCAUGGUGGGGGUUGGAAAGAUUUUUCGGUCUGGGAUGGGCUCGCGGCCUAUCAGCUUGUUGGUGAGGUAAUGGCUCACCAAGGCGUCGACGGGUAGCCGGCCUGAGAGGGUGACCGGCCACACUGGGACUGAGACACGGCCCAGACUCCUACGGGAGGCAGCAGUGGGGAAUAUUGCACAAUGGGCGGAAGCCUGAUGCAGCAACGCCGCGUGAGGGAUGACGGCCUUCGGGUUGUAAACCUCUUUUAGCAAGGAAGAAGCGAAAGUGACGGUACUUGCAGAAAAAGCGCCGGCUAACUACGUGCCAGCAGCCGCGGUAAUACGUAGGGCGCAAGCGUUAUCCGGAAUUAUUGGGCGUAAAGAGCUCGUAGGCGGUUUGUCGCGUCUGCUGUGAAAUCCCGAGGCUCAACCUCGGGCCUGCAGUGGGUACGGGCAGACUAGAGUGCGGUAGGGGAGAUUGGAAUUCCUGGUGUAGCGGUGGAAUGCGCAGAUAUCAGGAGGAACACCGAUGGCGAAGGCAGAUCUCUGGGCCGUAACUGACGCUGAGGAGCGAAAGGGUGGGGAGCAAACAGGCUUAGAUACCCUGGUAGUCCACCCCGUAAACGUUGGGAACUAGUUGUGGGGUCCUUUCCACG